This 1201-nucleotide long non-coding RNA is filed under the name Dicentrarchus labrax (European seabass). RNAcentral describes it as "lncRNA (ENSDLAG00005022648.2)". The record is from RNAcentral. Lineage: Eukaryota; Metazoa; Chordata; Actinopteri; Moronidae.
CCAUGUCUCGCCGUGACGUCACGCGCCGUAUCCCGAGCCCGAGCGCUCCCCUGAGCGCGUGGUCCCGGUCGCGAGCACAUGGAAGUGAGGUCGAGAUUUUGUGUCUGUGAGACGCGCGACUGAUCAUCAUGUGGGUGAAAGAAUGAAAAGGGAAUAUAAAAAAGCGAUAAAGCAGCGACGGAGACCGAGAGAACAGCGCGGGACGGGUGGUGUUGCAGACCCUCAUGCAGACCCAGGUCUUACUGCGGCUGCCGCUCUCAUAGACGACUGAAGAUACUGAACUGAAUGGGAAGGAUGCAAAGAGGACAUAGAUACACCCUGAAUGGGCCUCUGUGGUGAUCUACACUGUGGUUGGGAAGUACCUAGUGUUACAACUGUCAUGCUGGUCUGCUUAAAGGGACAGCGAUGAUCACUUUUACACGCAGUACGUUUUGUUUUCAGAGCUUUGAAAAAUCCAUAUAGUUGGAUGUUUCAGUUUUCGCCUUAAUAGUGAGUGAGCAGUUUCUCUGUGCAGAGUUUAGAAAUCAAACAGGGUCUUUUCUGUGUUAAAUUGCAGUUUCUAAAUGGUCAGGACAUCACUUGAAAUGCAGAAAGACUUAAUGGAGACUUCUCAGACUUCUUUCUUCAAUAAAGACAUAAAUUCAAUAGAUUUAAAGGCGUCGCCUCUUCUAUAGAGUCCAUCUUCAUACUCACACAAAAAAACAGAAGUCUAUUCAACUUUUUACCAGUUGACUAAUCUAUAAUUGCUGGGGUCAUGAAACUAUACUUCCAGAAUACACUGAGAAUUUGUGAUAUUGUGUAAAUGAAAUCUAACCACAAUGAGGUGAAAGAGGAAUGGAAUUUGUUUUGCAAUCGUUUCUAAAAAACCACAUAGAUUUUUACUUGCAUAUUCUGUUUGCAUGUUGUAGGUAUUUUCUGUUUCACUUUACACUUUUGAAUGUUUUGACAAAGCUUGUCUGAAUAAAUAUUUCUCUCUGACAGAUGUUUACUAAGCGUGUGUUUUUCUUGGACUCCGACAAGUGAGUGAAGCGUGCUCAUUACACUGAAGCCGGUCCUAAGUGUUCUGCAUCACCGCCUCUCAGUUUACAGCUGCAGAGAGUGAGAUCUUAGGCAAACACCGUAUCCGUGCUAAUUACGAAAUCCUAACCACAACAUGGAGAGCUAUUUGAGAGCUUCAUAGACAAGGUGCCGUCCUGCAGAA